AUUGAACGCUGGCGGCAUGCCUUACACAUGCAAGUCGAACGGUAACGCGGGGCAACCUGGCGACGAGUGGCGAACGGGUGAGUAAUAUAUCGGAACGUGCCCAGUUGUGGGGGAUAACUGCUCGAAAGAGCAGCUAAUACCGCAUACGACCUGAGGGUGAAAGCGGGGGAUCGCAAGACCUCGCGCAAUUGGAGCGGCCGAUAUCAGAUUAGGUAGUUGGUGGGGUAAAGGCCUACCAAGCCGACGAUCUGUAGCUGGUCUGAGAGGACGACCAGCCACACUGGGACUGAGACACGGCCCAGACUCCUACGGGAGGCAGCAGUGGGGAAUUUUGGACAAUGGGGGCAACCCUGAUCCAGCCAUGCCGCGUGCGGGAAGAAGGCCUUCGGGUUGUAAACCGCUUUUGUCAGGGAAGAAAAGACUCCUACUAAUACUGGGGGUUCAUGACGGUACCUGAAGAAUAAGCACCGGCUAACUACGUGCCAGCAGCCGCGGUAA
Molecule: ribosomal RNA, 498 nt
Filed under: uncultured bacterium
Lineage: Bacteria
Description: partial 16S ribosomal RNA
Rfam family: Bacterial small subunit ribosomal RNA
Source: RNAcentral